GAUGAACGCUGGCGGCGUGCAUAACACAUUCAAGUCGAACGGACAUAUUGACUUCGGUUGAUAUGUUAGUGGCGGACGGGUGAGUAACGCGUGAGCAACCUGCCCCUAUGUGCGGGAUAACGGCUGGAAACGGACGCUAAUACCGCAUGAUCCAAGAGGACCGCAUGAUUUUCUUGGCAAAGAUUUAUUGCAUAGGGAUGGGCUCGCGUCCGAUUAGAUAGUUGGCGGUGCAACGGACCACCAAGUCGACGAUCGGUAGCCGGACUGAGAGGUUGAACGGCCACAUUGGAACUGAGAAACGGUCCAGACUCC
This 312-nucleotide ribosomal RNA is filed under the name uncultured Ruminococcus sp. RNAcentral describes it as "bacterial SSU rRNA". It matches the Rfam family "Bacterial small subunit ribosomal RNA", at positions 28 to 339 of the family's 1533-position model. The record is from RNAcentral. Lineage: Bacteria; Bacillati; Bacillota; Clostridia; Eubacteriales; Oscillospiraceae.